This is a long non-coding RNA of Daucus carota subsp. sativus, 2271 nucleotides long. RefSeq lists it as uncharacterized. Lineage: Eukaryota; Viridiplantae; Streptophyta; Magnoliopsida; Apiales; Apiaceae. The record is from RefSeq and is a predicted model, not a curated record. The transcript has 6 exons.
AGUAUUCUCUCCUUACCCGCGUUUGUGUUGUGUGAUGGAUUGCCUCUCCAGGAUUGGGUUUCAGGAAAGAUGUGAAUCAGGAGCCGGCAAAUGAAAAUAAGAGUGAGGUGCCUACCAGUAAAAGGGAGAAUAGAAAAGGCAAAAAGCAGGAUAGUGUAGCGGAGGCAAAUGGACAGACUCUUUCUGAAAACAAUGCGUCCUCGAUUUACACACAAUUUCUGGAAUGCCCUCGGCUCUUCGUUUUCUCGGUACUCGCUAUUAGUUUCUUCCCGUAUAUAUUGUCCGGCUGCUCUUUGAUUGAACUCUAAGUAUUCUCUCUCUUUACCUGCGAUUUGUGUUUGGUGGAUUGUCUCUCGCUUGGGUUUUUCUCCUGAUUUGGGUUUUAGAGAAAACAUAUUCAGUUCUUAUGUGUAUAUUAGUUGGGUUUACGUGGCACAAUUUAUUCCCAAUGGAUGGUUCCUCGAGAAAAUGUGGCAGGCCGAAGCUGCAAGUUGAGAAGGGUUGCAGGAGAGCGGUCCAACUCGAUCAUUCAUCCAUCAAGGCAAAUUUUAUUGGCAUAUGAGAUUAUGGUUUGCGUGGGUAUACUCCUAAGCUUCCAAGUCUUUGUGGCAUAUUCCGUGCCACAAUAUGUCCUGUCAGGACUCAUAAUGUUUGUCUCUGCAAAAGUUCUGGAAGGAAACAGGUUAAAAUGUCGGGACUGUGGUUAAUGUUUUCGAUAGUGGAGCAGGAGACCUUUUACAAGUUAGACUUGAUAGAUCUCCCAAACUAUCUGAUGGAGCCGGAAAACCAAAAUUGGAGAUCCUUGCUUCUGCUCCAUUUGUGUGGGUUCCAUUUGAAGCAAUUGUUCCUAAUGUUACUAAUUAUUAUAAAAUUCUAGGCUCUGCAAAAACUGUUCCAAUUAGAAUGGUGAAUAGACAGUGUUCAUCAGGUAAUCAAGCAGUAGCUGACGUAGCUACAGCUAUCAAAGCUGGAUUUUAUGACAUUGGUAGCGUGACAUUGGAACAGUCAAUCCAAGGGUAAAAUCAAUUCUGUUAAAUUCACUCGGUAAAGAGCAUGGAACAUGCGCAAAACUGUCUUCUACCAAUGGGCAUAACUUCAGAAAAUGUUGCAAGUCAUUGUGGAGUUCUGGAUAUGACUGUUCGAUGUUACAGUAAUAUUUUUAUUAUGUUACCUCUUUUUUUUUUUUAUGUACUUCAUUAGCUUGAUUCAAACAAGAAGGCUUCGGCGGCGGAUGCUGCUUGAGGAAGGUUUAAGGAUGAGAUAAUACCUGCACACACCAAGAUCGUGGACAUAAAAACUGGGGAUGAAAAACCUGUUACGAUCUCUGUGGAUGACGGGAUUCGGGAAAAUGAUGUGGCGGAUCUUAGAAACUAAAGCCUUCAUAUAAGAAAGACGGGACGAUGACUGCUGGAAACUAAGAAUCUUAAACAUGACCUGUAUUUGAGGAAUAUUAAUUUAUCUCUUUACUCAUCAAUUCAUCAAUGAUAUUAUAUAGGAAAUUCUAGCCAGGUAACUAAUGUUGCUGCAGCUGUUCUCCUGAUGAAAAGAAGUACUGCUAUGCAGAAAGGAUUACCAGUUCUUGGGGUAUUUAGCUGCAGGUUGAAGAGGUUAAGAAGUAUCUCACAACUAAAGAUGUACAAGAGGGUUUUAAAAUCUCACUUUCAAACCACAGGGGCCAGCAAUGUAUCCGACCUCGCCAAUUACUUCCGAUCAAUGUAAAGAUAUUAUGUUUCAUGGCUCAUCAGUCACUUUGCUUAUAAUUGAAUAAAUAAAUCUUUUGCUAUUGUUAUUUUAUCAUUGUCUCUAAUCAUGAUUGUUUCUCGCCAACACAAUGCUCUCAGAAUAUUGUACCAGAGAACUCCCAAGACUUAUCUGUAUCUAUACAUAUUACCGACCUGUGGUCUCGAGAGGACCUUGAUGCUAAUCCCUAUCAACGUACAAGGUUUUUUUGGGCAUUUCAAAUGUAUAUCAGAUUACUAUAAAAUGUCAGAUUGAAGUAUAACCUGAGGAUGGGUGGCUAAUGAAUUGUGUUUUUUUAUGCUCUCUCUUGAGAUAUGGGUUGUUUUAUGUGGAUUUUAUUUUUCCUUUCAUAUGCUUGGAGGGUCAAAACUGUUUUAAGGCCAAUACAUAGGUGUUUGGAAUGAGAACCAUCUAAAAAUCUGACUAUAUGUAUGUGUUAUACAAUGUAUGCACAUACCUAAUUUGAUUCUAAAAUAGAGUUGUUUUUUUGCAACUCUUUACAAAUAUCGAGAAAUGGGAGAUCUACAAGUA